UUUGAAUUCUAAUUAUACGGUAAUCAAAAUAAUUUCUUAGUUUUAAAACCAUCUCCUUUCUAAAUCUACCACUCUUCUCUCCUUCUCGUCGGUAUAGCCAUGGCAGCGACAGAAAAUGACGAUGUUGCAGAGUUUGAUUGUUUGGAGACGCUUUGAAUGACGAAACAAGAUGUGGGUUCGUGGCACAUGUUCGACGGCCAGAAUGUUUCAGGUGAUUGAUUGCAACAUGUUCGGAGAUGUGCAGUGCCUAAUCUGGAGGCCUCCUCCUACUCCAUUCCGAGACGGAGGAUUGGGUCUUAUAGUGCUGUCGUAAUCUGUAUCAUUUAGUCGCUCUUGUGCUAGUCUAGACUAGGUUGUGGGAACUUGAAAAGAGUCUUAUCUAUUAACAGUUGUAAAUAUUUUCAAUAUUGGAGUUUAUUAGGCAAUUGAUUUCCUAUGUUAAUUGUACUUAGUUUUUGGAAUAUUCAAGUUGUCUUUACUUGAUUAAUGUGCUAUUCGAUAGAGGGUUCGCCUACCGAGGUGGGAAAGGUAGGUGCCUGCGCGGUCCUAAAAUGGGUCGUGACAAAAAUGAAUUUGUAUGUGCAUUUAGAAGGAGGAGAAAGAGAUGCAGAUAUGGUGGUUGGACUGUUUACGAGGGUAAAGAGAAGAGAGAGAGAAAGAGAGAGAGAGAGAGAGAAGAAGAAGAAAGAGAAAAGAAUAGUGUUUAAUUUCUUUUACCAAAAAAAAAAAAAAAAGGAGUAAAGAAAAGAAAAUUAAGAAAAACUUGGUAUCCUGCUAUAGCAGGUCAAAGUUACUGAUGGUGUAAAAUAUUUUAUAUACCGAUAGUGCACCAAACUUAAACUCUAUUUUUAUUCAGAGUGAAACUAUUAUGAUCUCCCUAAAUGAUCACGUGGCAAAGAAAGAAAAAGUACUUAUUCUAUCAAAGAAAAAAUAGCCUGCAUUAACAAUUUUUGGUCUUAUAAUUAUAGUAAAAUAGCCAGAGUUUGUGAAACUAAUUAUUUUUUAAUGCGGAUAUAAAAUCUUGAAUAAGAUUACCCUAAACUAAAAUAGAAAAAACUCCAACAUAUUGCGCAUGGGUUCAUAAAAUGCUAGGAUUAAAAAAAAAAAAAAAAAGGAUAGGCUUCAUGAAAAAAAUGCUGAAGUUCACAAAAAAAAUGCUUGAAUUGAUGAAAAAAAUGUUAAAGUUCAUCAAAGAAAUACUGAAGUUCGAAAUUCUAACAAGUUAAAUUCAAUGACAAUAGUUUAGAGUUUGAAAAAAGUAAAAAGCUGAAAAAAUUGAUCUUUAUCUUUUUUUAAGCGUUGAAAUUUUAUCCUUCAUGUUAAAAUAUGGCUAUUUUUUCAAUGACUUUUGAAUAUGCAACUAUUUUUUAUUACUUUUGAAUAUCCUCCCCAUCGUUCCUCCAUCACGUAGUAAUACCACCACAAUAACACCGCCACCAUUAAUAUUAUCGCCACUUUCAAGCACUGAAACAUCAUCAGACACCCAUUAUAAUUAUCAAAUUUGGAAGAAGACCUUAAAAACCACCAUUGUUGAGUUUGAAGUUCUCAAAUCUAUAAAUAUAAAAUCCGAAGAGUGUUGUAAACAUCGGUGUUUAAAAUCUGGUUGGUAAUACUCGUGUGAAGCUUAUACUAAAUUUUAAGCUCAAAUGAGGUUUAUUUG
Lycium barbarum (goji berry) is the source of this 1660-nucleotide long non-coding RNA. RefSeq lists it as uncharacterized. Lineage: Eukaryota; Viridiplantae; Streptophyta; Magnoliopsida; Solanales; Solanaceae. The transcript has 3 exons. The record is from RefSeq and is a predicted model, not a curated record.